GCAAGUCGAACGCGAAAGUCACUUCGGUGGCGAGUAGAGUGGCGGACGGGUGAGUAACGCGUGGGAAUCUACCUUGUAGUGGGGGACAACCCGAGGAAACUCGGGCUAAUACCGCAUACGUCCUACGGGAGAAAGGGGGCCUCUGAUUCAAGCUCCCGCUACAAGACGAGCCCGCGUCGGAUUAGCUAGUUGGUAGGGUAAAAGCCUACCAAGCCGACGAUCUUUAGCUGAUCUGAGAGGAUGAUC
RNAcentral lists this ribosomal RNA (246 nucleotides) under uncultured bacterium. Its description in RNAcentral is "partial 16S ribosomal RNA". It matches the Rfam family "Bacterial small subunit ribosomal RNA", at positions 57 to 305 of the family's 1533-position model. The record is from RNAcentral.